Molecule: small nuclear RNA, 98 nt
Organism: Ailuropoda melanoleuca (giant panda)
Lineage: Eukaryota; Metazoa; Chordata; Mammalia; Carnivora; Ursidae
Source: Ensembl
GUACUUACUUCAGCAGCACAUAUAUUAAAGUUGAAGAGAAGAUUCGCAUGGCCCUGUGCAAGGAUGACACGUAAAAAUUAAUUUGAAUAGCCAUUUAU